This 301-nucleotide ribosomal RNA is filed under the name uncultured bacterium. Its description in RNAcentral is "partial 16S ribosomal RNA". It matches the Rfam family "Bacterial small subunit ribosomal RNA", at positions 509 to 807 of the family's 1533-position model. The record is from RNAcentral.
CAGCAGCCGCGGUAAUACGGAGGGGGCUAGCGUUGUUCGGAAUUACUGGGCGUAAAGCGCACGUAAGCGGCUUGGUAAGUUAGAGGUGAAAGCCCGGAGCUCAACUCCGGAAUUGCCUUUAAGACUGCCGAGCUAGUAGGUGAGAGAGGUAAGUGGAAUUCCUAGUGUAGCGGUGAAAUGCGUAGAUAUUAGGAAGAACACCAGUGGCGAAGGCGACUUUCUGGACGAAAACUGACGCUGAGGCGCGAAAGCCAGGGGAGCAAACAGGAUUAGAUACCCCUGUAGUCCCUGUCUCUUAUAC